Long non-coding RNA from Prosopis cineraria, 747 nucleotides. RefSeq lists it as uncharacterized. The record is from RefSeq and is a predicted model, not a curated record. NCBI's taxonomy places the organism in Eukaryota, Viridiplantae, Streptophyta, Magnoliopsida, Fabales, Fabaceae. The transcript is spliced from 3 exons.
GCUCUGUGGAAAAUUCCAGAUUCUCUCAUCUCUCACCUUUUGCCUUCUCUGUCUCCUCCUACUUCCGUCUGCAGCGUCGCUGGCGUGUGAGUGUGCGAGAAUUUCAUCCGAUGCUUCUCUGCUAACCUUUGCCGAUGUGGGUGUUUCUUAUUCGUGUGGUCACCGUUGUUGCUUUGUCUACCAUGGCUGUGUGUAGCCUGUAGCCUCCCUCAUCUUCCUCUGUCUCUCAUCAUCGAAGCCUCUUCCUUCUGAUCUGUUCUAGUAACUACAAGGGUGAGUCAGAAAUCUCCUCCUUUCCUGCAACGCGACAUUACCGUUCACUGCCAUAGAGAGCUUUGAACCUCCUUUCUCUUCCCUCAUUUAUUUCAUUUUUGGGUGCCGAAGAACAAGGGAGACGUGGCUGUUGUUCUAGGAGUUUGAUUCUGAAACUUUCUCCUUCUUUUAUGCUGUAAACUUCGUUCCCUUUCUGCUACUGUAAAUUGAGAUAGUGUAGCUGACAUUGAAUCAUCCGCCAAAUAUUGAGGAGUCUAUUACUGACUAAAGGUGGACGAGUUAAGGAUUAAGUAUUCUUUUGAUGUAAUAUUUUAAAUUAUGAAUUUUAUUUUGUAAGCUUAGUUUAGGUGCUCCACAUAAUCUAUUGCUAGAACCUUUAUUUUGUCAUAUAUUUUUGCUUGGUGGUUGGAAGGAGUUGAAUUCUUGAUUAACAUGACAUUUGGUGAAAAAUAUUGAGUUGUAGAGUUUUCGGGA